GACGGAGGAGGCUAGCGUUGUUCGGAAUUACUGGGCGUAAAGGGCGCGUAGGCGGCCUACUAAGUCGGACGUGAAAUCCCUCGGCUCAACCGAGGAACUGCGUCCGAUACUGGUGGGCUUGAAUCCGGGAGAGGGAUGUGGAAUUCCAGGUGUAGCGGUGAAAUGCGUAGAUAUCGAGAGGAACACCUGCGGCGAAGGCGGGUUGCUGGGCUGACACUGACGCUGAAGUGCGAAAGCUAGGGGAGCGAACGGG
RNAcentral lists this ribosomal RNA (253 nucleotides) under uncultured bacterium. RNAcentral describes it as "partial 16S ribosomal RNA". It matches the Rfam family "Bacterial small subunit ribosomal RNA", at positions 524 to 776 of the family's 1533-position model. The record is from RNAcentral.